CCUACGGGAGGCAGCAGUGAGGAAUAUUGGUCAAUGGCCGGAAGGCUGAACCAGCCAUGCCGCGUGAAGGACGACGGUGCUAAGCAUUGUAAACUUCUUUUGUCAAGGGACAAACUCAGGCACGAGUGCCUGCCUGAGGGUACUUGACGAAUAAGCAUCGGCUAACUCCGUGCCAGCAGCCGCGGUAAUACGGAGGAUUCGAGCGUUAUCCGGAUUUAUUGGGUUUAAAGGGUGCGUAGGCGGACUGUUAAGUUAGCGGUGAAAUCCCGGGGCUCAAACCCGGCGGUGCCGCUGAUACUGGUGGUCUAGAGAGGUGGAGAGGUAGGCGGAAUGUACGGUGUAGCGGUGAAAUGCUUAGAGAU
RNAcentral lists this ribosomal RNA (362 nucleotides) under uncultured bacterium. RNAcentral describes it as "partial 16S ribosomal RNA". It matches the Rfam family "Bacterial small subunit ribosomal RNA", at positions 338 to 697 of the family's 1533-position model. The record is from RNAcentral.